UCCUCUCAUCGCUCGAUUCCUCCUCUCCUCCAUGCCGCCGCCGCCUCCACUUCUUCCCUAGACCAUGCCUCGUCUCAGCUCCUCGUUCCGCCGCGCACGGCAGCCGUCUUCCAUCCGGCGUAUCGCCUAGCGGAGCAAAUGGCGGAUCUGCCACCUCUCUCCUCGCCGGUAAGUAGCAGCCAGACCGGUGCUGGGGAGAGCCGGAGACAGGGACAAGAAGCAGCAGGGGACGGCUCCCGCUGCGGUGGAGUGGAGCUGCAGGGAGAGGAAGGAGGCCGACGACAGGGGAAAAGAACAUGCCGGCUCUGGUUCGUCAUGGAGAACACAAAAUGCUGGCCCUCCUCUGCCUCUUCUUCUCUGGACCAUGGAUUCGUUGUGGGUUCUCUAUUGGUGGUGUUGGGGAUUGCAAGGCUUAUUCCAUCUGGUUUUAGGAGUGUGUGUUGCUCCUAUAAAUUUUUCUCAGGUUGUCUCUCUUCUUCUUGUUGCUAUCUUAGUUCAUUCUUUUGUUCAUACAAGGAAUUUCGAGAUUUGCUUUUCAGCUCCUAGAGCUGUUGGAGUUAGUGUACAAUCCUAUAUCUAAUUAGAAGUCACAUACUUGUCUCCUGGUUGGGGAAAUUACAAAUUGGUUUGCAGUCCUUCCAUGCCUUCUAAUUAGAUGGUUGAAAUUCGUCAACUCCGCUGACUCUCGACUAUGGCAUGCUACAAGCCUACAACCCCGACCCAGCCCACUUAUGCAGUAAUAUGCUCGUGUGACCGCUCCUUUUUAGGAUUUUGUUUACUCAAUAUUACCUGCUUUGUAUUACUUACUAAACUUGAUGGUUUGACUUAUAUAUAAGUUCCUUGAGGGAAAAUCACAAGACCUGUAGCCAUUCUUACGCACGGGAUAUUGUUCUGAAACAAGUUAUCUUCCCCUCAUGUUCUGCUCUUCCAUCGUGUCUGAUUCUAAAAUUUGUUUCUUGCAAUGUGUGAUAUGUUUGUUUACUUUCAUUUCUAAGGAAAAGUAAGCUCCUAUGCAUCAUAGGACUAUUUGGUUAGCUAAUAUUUUUAACAAUGAUCUGUUGGCGAAUCUGUUUCUUUAGUUUUAAAAUCUAAAUUGUUCGUACAGAUUAACAGGUCUGCUUGUACUGUUUACAUCACUAGGCUGAGUCCAUCAUUGGUGGUGGUUAGUGUCCAGGUUUGGCAGCAAAUCAACUACUCUGAAUGAGGCCAUUCACAGCUUCUCAUGAGUAACAUGCAUAUGUGAACACGCUGAUCCAAGGGUUAUGUUUUGUGUAUUCUAUUUUCGUUGGCUAUGCUAUGUGUUUCAGUGCCAAUGACUCAACAGUCAUUUAUCAAUCAGUGUGUAUUUUGUUCUCAUCGGCAAUGAUGCAUAUACAUUUAAUAUAGAUCACAAACCUGACACUUUACGUGGAACUUUGGGGUGUAAUAUUUAUUGCACUGCUUCAUGGUUCAUUGUAGCAAUGCUGGCCGUCAGGGAAGAUGCUGUUAAGCACAAAAAUUCAGUGCUCGGAGAAGUCUGCUAUGCAAACUUGUGGCUUUAGAUCCUUAUUAUCAGAUCGUGUCACUCUUUCCACUCCAAAACCGAUGAGCUCUGGAAAACGGGUAUAUCUCUGCCUCCUGUUCCUAGCACUACUCAUUUAUGAAACAAUUCAUUCCCUAUACUGCAUUUAAAUAUCUUGCAUUUGCACACAAUUUGUAAUAGCAAUCCGUGGCUUUCAUGUAAUAAGGUGAAACCUACUCUUGCAGGCUCCUGAUUGUGUGUGUGUAUUUUGUAGCUUCAUCGCCUUAUGGCAUCAAGAUGCAAUUGCUCAUAUGAUUUCAUAGUUUGGCAAGUACCACAGAAUUUGUGGUUGACUAUUUACAUCCAAAAUUAUCGUGUUAGUACUUAGUACUGAAGCUAAUUUCUACAUCGUUAAUAGAGUUGCCUUGAUGUUUCCCGUACUAGAAAGAUCUAUCUAUGAUCUAUUUUUUAACCAUCUAAGACUGUAGUCAUAUAUACUCCAUACAGUAACAAUAUAUCUUGGUGUCGGUUUGCUGAUUAUUUAUCUCUCCCAGCUUGUUUUUAUGUCUGGUCAAAUUGCAUAAGAAGCUGACAUGUAAAUGUAGAUCAUGCAGCUUUAUGGGCAUGCAUCAGAUUCAUAUUAUAAUAAAGUUUUGACUUCAUACUAUAAAUCCAUUCAUUAGAGCUAUAUAUAUCAUAUACAAUACCAUUUAGUCUGGUUCAUGAGUAAAAUGUUGUUUUUAAUAAAUUGAAGGUUGUUCCUUGUUCGCUUGUUGUUUGCUAGCACUGAUGUUGAUGUAAGAAAACAAAGUGUAGUUCAUAUUUUAAUCAUUUAUGUCCAUAUCAUAUGAUGCUAAUGUAUGAACUAUAUAUGGUUUGGUUUAAACGAUAUCAAUAAAAGAAUAUACAUUGUGGAAAUUAAAUAAAUCCUACAAAUCGAAUUAGGAAACUAUUGUUACUGGCAUUCGACGAGGAAAAGGAGACCCCGGAGGAAGUUACAACGUCGUUGUGGUGGCUCGAUCGAUGCGGAUUUUGAUGUUGAUUGUUUUGAUCUGGACAUGGAUUGGAUAUUGGAGAAUUGAUACUGGGGAUCGAGAAAUUGUUAUUUGUGUUGCUGAUUUUUUUAUUUGGACAUGGAUUUGAGAGUGGACAAGGCCUGAUCAAGUCUCCAGCCUCAUGAUUCUUUUUUAGUGUCAAUCAACGGUUUCCUUAAUUGCAAGACAACGACCCUCCAUGUUAUCAAUCUGGUACAGUGUUGUUGUGAGUGAGGACGACACAGGGAAAGGUGCAACAAGAUAGCGUUCGCGUUGCAGUGGACUGGAGUCGGCCAUCACCACCAACCGCUGCUCGCCGAUCGUCGUCCCUCAUCCCCCGUCUAGAUGUUUGCUGAUCAGGCGAAGAAGAGAGGAAUGACCUUGAGGAAGAGUCAAGAACAUGGUGAACCUCUUGGCCAUCGCAACCCGACGGCUCAGGCGACAAUGAACAUGGGUAUUUCUAGCCCAUCAAUCUACAGGGCUCAGGUCCUGCACAUGGCUAUCGACUUGCUUGCUGUCGGGCGAGAUUGGUUGCAACUUGUCUGCCUCGAUUCUAAUUCUCUGUGUUAUCCAUCUACAUAUGCCUACCAUUGUCAGCUAUGUUUCUAGCCCAAACAGCUGUAGUCAGAUUUCCUUGCCUUUGGCUGGCCAUCCCUUUCUUUUGCCACGCCAUCGACUUGCUUGAUGUCGGGUGUUUGCUAUAGAAAAUCAAAAGAAGCAACCUAAAUGUCAAUGGGGUGAUGACAGUGACAUGUUUAACACGAGGUGUUGCAUCUAGGCUCUACAAGAUUCGCUGAUGGAUGUGUGAAUGUGAGCAAUCAGGAUAUAAAUUUCUUCCAACAACAAGAGAUGCUGAUUAGAUUCAGGAAUAUGUUGUUACGUCUCAGCAUUGCAGCUUAAUGUUGUAGGAUUAAUAUUUGGCACCUGACAUGAGGUUGAGAAAUACCAUGCUUUAAUUACAUAUGAC
This is a long non-coding RNA of Triticum dicoccoides, 3502 nucleotides long. RefSeq lists it as uncharacterized. The record is from RefSeq and is a predicted model, not a curated record. Lineage: Eukaryota; Viridiplantae; Streptophyta; Magnoliopsida; Poales; Poaceae. The transcript is spliced from 9 exons.